Molecule: small nuclear RNA, 107 nt
Organism: Echinops telfairi (small Madagascar hedgehog)
Lineage: Eukaryota; Metazoa; Chordata; Mammalia; Afrosoricida; Tenrecidae
Source: RefSeq, a predicted model, not a curated record
GUGCUCGCUUCAGCUGCACAUAGACUAACGUUGCAACGACACAGGGAAGAUUAGCAUGGCCCCUGCACAAGGAUGACACGCAAACCUGGCUAGACCAGGGGAUGUAC